RNAcentral lists this ribosomal RNA (256 nucleotides) under uncultured bacterium. Its description in RNAcentral is "partial 16S ribosomal RNA". It matches the Rfam family "Bacterial small subunit ribosomal RNA", at positions 524 to 777 of the family's 1533-position model. The record is from RNAcentral.
UACGUAGGGUGCAAGCGUUAAUCGGAAUUACUGGGCGUAAAGCGUGCGCAGGCGGUGAUGUAAGACAGGUGUGAAAUCCCCGGGCUUAACCUGGGAACUGCAUUUGUGACUGCAUAGCUAGAGUACGGUAGAGGGGGGGAUGGAAUUCCGCGUGUAGCAGUGAAAUGCGUAGAUAUGCGGAGGAACACCGAUGGCGAAGGCAAUCCCCUGGACCUGUACUGACGCUCAUGCACGAAAGCGUGGGGAGCAAACGAGG